ACACAUAACAGUUAGGAAAGCUGUAAGUUUUCGCAGUUGGCCAAAAACGUCCAGUUCCAGCGCUGAGCCAGAAAAUUCCUGCGAAAGGCUGUCGUGGCAAGUGUUACCCGCACACAUACACAUCAUCCAGAUCCAGCCAAUCCCCCCGUGGAGUGGAGUGAAUUUUCAUUGACGACUGGGGGCGAAAAAGCUCUGGCGGAAGAACGAAAGUGAGAGAGAGGCGGCACUGAGAGCGCAACCCUCUAGAACAAAAACAACGAAACAGAGUUCAGCUGCACCACCACCCACCACCUACACCAACACCACCACCACCACCACCAACGCCACCACCGCCCACUGACCAUCCCACAUCCCGACCUGCGGCAGUGGAAGAAAGUGAAAGAGGCCAAGUGCAUACCUUCAUCCUAAUCAUCGCCAGACGAAUUCGUUGAGGCCACCAGAGCACCACCAGCCAAACACAGAAGCAACCACACAGCCACCAGAGCCAUAGCCCAGAAGACGAGGUAAAGGUCAAAGUUUUUGGGGUUCUGCGAUGGGCAAGAAAGACAAGAACAAGGAACCGGCGGACGCUGCACCAGCUGGCGAUGCACCACCAAACGCCGGAGCCCCGACCGGAGAGGGCGGCGAUGGCGAGAUUGUGGGCGGACCACACAAUCCGCAGCAGAUUGCGGCACAGAAGCGUCUGCAGCAGACGCAGGCGCAGGUCGAUGAGGUCGUGGACAUCAUGCGCACGAACGUGGAGAAGGUGCUGGAGCGCGACAGCAAGCUGUCGGAGCUGGACGACCGUGCCGAUGCACUGCAGCAGGGCGCCUCGCAGUUCGAGCAGCAGGCGGGCAAGCUCAAGAGGAAAUUCUGGCUCCAGAACUUGAAGAUGAUGAUCAUCAUGGGCGUGAUUGGUCUGGUUGUCGUGGGCAUUAUUGCAAAGAAAGACGAAGAAUAAAUACACUGAAAGCUUUAGCUUUGUACAAUUUUGUUAACCAUAAGCAAACCAAUUUACCCAAUAUAACACUUUCUGUGUGAGAUAAACUUGGCCUCAUAGGCGGGGAGCAGCCACCACAGUACCAGUACCCCCCACAGUACAUGCAGCCACCGCCGCCGCCUCCGCAGCA
RNAcentral lists this unclassified non-coding RNA (1109 nucleotides) under Drosophila yakuba. RNAcentral describes it as "GE20941". Lineage: Eukaryota; Metazoa; Arthropoda; Insecta; Diptera; Drosophilidae. The record is from RNAcentral.